This 254-nucleotide ribosomal RNA is filed under the name uncultured bacterium. RNAcentral describes it as "partial 16S ribosomal RNA". It matches the Rfam family "Bacterial small subunit ribosomal RNA", at positions 524 to 776 of the family's 1533-position model. The record is from RNAcentral.
CACGUAGGGUGCGAGCGUUGUCCGGAAUUAUUGGGCGUAAAGAGCUCGUAGGCGGUGUGUCGCGUCGGCCGUGAAAACCUGGGGCUUAACUCUGGGCGUGCGGUCGAUACGGGCAUCACUGGAGUUCGGCAGGGGAGACUGGAAUUCCUGGUGUAGCGGUGAAAUGCGCAGAUAUCAGGAGGAAUACCGAUGGCGAAGGCAGGUCUCUGGGCUGACACUGACGCUCAUGCACGAAAGCGUGGGGAGCAAACAGG